UCUGCUUAGGGAGGAGGCCUAAGCCACUAUGGAGGAGAGUAUGAAGGUUCCUUAGAAAACUAAUAAUACAUUUACCAUGUGAUCCAGCAAUCCCACUCCCGGGCAUUUAUCUGGAGGGAACUCUAAUUCGAAAAGACACAUGCACCCUAGUGU
Molecule: non-coding RNA, 153 nt
Organism: Vicugna pacos (alpaca)
Lineage: Eukaryota; Metazoa; Chordata; Mammalia; Artiodactyla; Camelidae
Source: RefSeq, a predicted model, not a curated record